GACGAACGCUGGCGGCGUGCUUAACACAUGCAAGUCGAACGGAGCGAAUGAAAGCUUGCUUUUAUGAGCUUAGUGGCAAACGGGUGAGUAACACGUAGACAACCUGCCGACAGGAUGGGGACAACAUUCCGAAAGGAAUGCUAAUACCGAAUGAAGCGGAGGAGAGGCAUCUCUCUUCCGUGAAAGAUGGCCUCUUUUUAUGCUAUCACCUGUCGAUGGGUCUGCGUCUGAUUAGCUGGUUGGUGAGGUAACGGCUCACCAAGGCGACGAUCAGUAGCCGGUCUGAGAGGAUGAACGGCCACAUUGGGACUGAGACACGGCCCAGACUCCUACGGGAGGCAGCAGUGGGGAAUCUUCCGCAAUGGGCGCAAGCCUGACGGAGCAACGCCGCGUGAGUGAAGAAGGUCUUCGGAUCGUAAAGCUCUGUUGACGGGGACGAACGUGCCAAGGGUGAAUAAUCCUUUGCAAUGACGUACCUGUCGAGGAGCCACG
This 492-nucleotide ribosomal RNA is filed under the name Centipeda dianae. RNAcentral describes it as "bacterial SSU rRNA". It matches the Rfam family "Bacterial small subunit ribosomal RNA", at positions 28 to 495 of the family's 1533-position model. Lineage: Bacteria; Bacillati; Bacillota; Negativicutes; Selenomonadales; Selenomonadaceae. The record is from RNAcentral.